This 460-nucleotide ribosomal RNA is filed under the name uncultured Mollicutes bacterium. Its description in RNAcentral is "bacterial SSU rRNA". It matches the Rfam family "Bacterial small subunit ribosomal RNA", at positions 921 to 1377 of the family's 1533-position model. Lineage: Bacteria; Bacillati; Mycoplasmatota; Mollicutes. The record is from RNAcentral.
AACCGCACAAGCGGUGGAGUAUGUUGUUUAAUUCGAAGAUACACGAAGAACCUUACCAGGUCUUGACAUACCAUUGACAGGCGCAGAGAUGUGCUCUCCUUCGGGCAAUGGAUACAGGUGGUGCAUGGUUGUCGUCAGCUCGUGCCGUGAGGUGUUGGGUUAAGUCCCGCAACGAGCGCAACCCUCAUUGUUAGUUACUACCAUUCAGUUGAGGACUCUAAUGAGACUGCCAACGAUAAGUUGGAGGAAGGUGGGGAUGACGUCAAAUCAUCAUGCCCUUUAUGACCUGGGCUACAAACGUACUACAAUGGCCAAUACAAAGAAAUGCGAAGCGGUGACGUGGAGCGAACCUCAGAAAGUUGGUCUCAGUUCAGAUUGAAGUCUGCAACUCGACUUCAUGAAGGCGGAAUCGCUAGUAAUCGCGGGUCAGCAGACCGCGGUGAAUACGUUCCCGGGUUUU